UGGAACCUCUCCCAAGAUGUGCCCUAGAGUC
Molecule: non-coding RNA, 31 nt
Filed under: Homo sapiens (human)
Lineage: Eukaryota; Metazoa; Chordata; Mammalia; Primates; Hominidae
Source: RNAcentral